This 1381-nucleotide long non-coding RNA is filed under the name Homo sapiens (human). RNAcentral's name for it is "long non-coding RNA NONHSAT163873.1". Lineage: Eukaryota; Metazoa; Chordata; Mammalia; Primates; Hominidae. The record is from RNAcentral.
GGAUCAGCUGUCCUUCCUGCCAACUCAGUGACCUUCUGCGACCCCAGCAAUGGUGACUGCCCUUGCAAGCCUGGGGUGGCAGGGCGACGUUGUGACAGGUGCAUGGUGGGAUACUGGGGCUUCGGAGACUAUGGCUGUCGACCAUGUGACUGUGCGGGGAGCUGUGACCCUAUCACCGGAGACUGCAUCAGCAGCCACACAGACAUAGACUGGUAUCAUGAAGUUCCUGACUUCCGUCCCGUGCACAAUAAGAGCGAACCAGCCUGGGAGUGGGAGGAUGCGCAGGGGUUUUCUGCACUUCUACACUCAGGUAAAUGCGAAUGUAAGGAACAGACAUUAGGAAAUGCCAAGGCAUUCUGUGGAAUGAAAUAUUCAUAUGUGCUAAAAAUAAAGAUUUUAUCAGCUCAUGAUAAAGGUACUCAUGUUGAGGUCAAUGUGAAGAUUAAAAAGGUCUUAAAAUCUACCAAACUGAAGAUUUUCCGAGGAAAGCGAACAUUAUAUCCAGAAUCAUGGACGGACAGAGGAUGCACUUGUCCAAUCCUCAAUCCUGGUUUGGAAUACCUUGUAGCAGGACAUGAGGAUAUAAGAACAGGCAAACUAAUUGUGAAUAUGAAAAGCUUUGUCCAGCACUGGAAACCUUCUCUUGGAAGAAAAGUCAUGGAUAUUUUAAAAAGAGAGUGCAAGUAGCAUUAAGAUGGAUAGCACAUAAUGGCACUUGUCUAUGUACAAAACACAAACUUUAGAGCAAGAAGACCUCAGACAGGAAACUGGAAUUUUUUAAAGUGCCAAAACAUAUAGAAAUGUUUGAAUGCAUGGGUCUUAUCUAACUUAUCUCUUCUGGACCCAUGUUUAAAUACAGUUUUAUUUCAUGAAGAGAAAUGAAAACCCCUACACUGAUAUCUGUUUUCUAUGGGACUGAUUCUGAAAUUCUUAACUAUUAAGAAUAUUUUAAUAGCAGCAUGACAUUUAGCAGUAAUCCAUUAAGGGCAGUACCUCUAACAAGGACGCCUUCCAGCUUCAGCGAUGUUACUUACGUUUGAUGCUACUUAAAGUAAUGAAUGACGUUUUAAGGAAUCCCUAACCCUACUAUCAGAAAAGGUGUUUGUUAAAGAGCCUUCUCUUGUGUGUUACGCAUGAACUUUGGUCUGUAGGUGUUAAAUGGAACCUCUCCAUGUGUAUAUAGUAUUUCCUUGUAUAAAGCACUUUACUACCUACCACUUGUGUUGUGAACGUUUGGUGACUGCUGUUGAAAGAAGGAAAAGGGUGUGUGAGAAAGCCUACUGAAGCAGCAGCACUGCCACUACAUGUGGACAAAAGUGACCAUAUAAAAGAAGUUGUGCUAUUUAACUCUGAAUACUUGGAGAAACUAGGUGAAGAUGCA